UACGGGGGGAGCAAGCGUUGUUCGGAUUUACUGGGCGUAAAGGGCGGGUAGGCGGCCACCGCAAGUCGACUGUGAAAUCUCCGGGCUUAACCCGGAAAGGUCAGCCGAUACUGCGGGGCUAGAGUGCAGAAGGGGCAACUGGAAUUCUCGGUGUAGCGGUGAAAUGCGUAGAUAUCGAGAGGAACACCUGCGGCGAAGGCGGGUUGCUGGGCUGUAACUGACGCUGAGGCACGAAAGUGUGGGGAUCAAACAGG
RNAcentral lists this ribosomal RNA (254 nucleotides) under uncultured bacterium. Its description in RNAcentral is "partial 16S ribosomal RNA". It matches the Rfam family "Bacterial small subunit ribosomal RNA", at positions 524 to 776 of the family's 1533-position model. The record is from RNAcentral.